GAGGGUAUAGCUCAAUGGUAGAGUGCAUGCUUAGCACGCACAAGGUUCUGGGUUCAAUCCCCAGUAUCUCA
This 71-nucleotide transfer RNA is filed under the name Camelus bactrianus (Bactrian camel). It matches the Rfam family "tRNA". From Rfam's summary of the family: Transfer RNA (tRNA) molecules are approximately 80 nucleotides in length. Their secondary structure includes four short double-helical elements and three loops (D, anti-codon, and T loops). Lineage: Eukaryota; Metazoa; Chordata; Mammalia; Artiodactyla; Camelidae. RNAcentral also lists the same sequence under 1 other name. The record is from Rfam by way of RNAcentral.